AUGGCUGUAUUCAGUCAGCAUCAUGUUGAUGGACUUGAUUUGACGGUGAACCCCCUUUUGUACAUGAUGAGAUGCUUCCCGGUAAGCCCAAGCAUCAUGAUAUUUUGCAGGGAUGAAAUGCUAGAUUUAGUAGAGCAUGUUGUUCACUUGGUGGGUUAGCGGGUAGUAUGCUCUAUUUGGUACUACCUCCGUCCCAAAAUUCUUGUCUAAGAUUGAUAUGGAUGUAUCUAACACUAAAACGGGACUAGAUACAUCCAUAUUUAGACAAACCUAAGACAAGGAUUUUGGGACGGAGGGAGUAUUUAACUUGAAUAUACAUUUCAGCUCUGAUAUGAAGAAAGCGUAUUAUGGUCUGUCUGGUAUUUUUUUAAUUGCAUAUUUCAGCUGUAAUAUAGAAAAAGAAACAUUACCAUCCUUUUGGUAUUUGACUUAACACAAAUCUCAGCUCUAAUGUAGAAAAAAAAAUGUCUCUGCAGGGUGUACCUGAACAGAAACUGAGGUCACAUUUGGGUUCCUUUGGUGUUACAGGAAAUCUUGCCCUCCAAUCUAUGUACACUUUAUCAGGUAUGUAAUAACACAACAGUCUCCUGGAUGGAUUUAGCUGAUAGCUCAUUGGCAGCUGCGACGAGUUGAAGCUUUCCUCAGCUUUGAGAGAUUAUAUUACAUUCGCUCAAUGGUUGAUCUACUUGUAUAAUUUUAGCAAUGUCCUGAUCCUAGUUAAUGCACAUUUGCAAUGGCAGGUGGUCAGAAGAGUAGGGUUGCGUUCGCGAAGAUCACCUUCAAGAAGCCGCACAUUAUCUUGCUUGACGAGCCUUCUAACCAUCUUGUAAGCGAACCACCUCAUCUUCCCUCCUUGCCCCAUACCUCCUUGUAUAAGCAGAGAUGAGAAACCACGGUAACAAGCAGUUCCUGACAUCGUGAAAUUUUGUGUGUUGCAGGAUCUCGACGCAGUGGAGGCGCUCAUCCAGGGUCUGCUCAUAUUCCAGGGAGGAGUGCUGAUGGUAAGGACACAUUGCCACCACGUUGCAUGUUGUUCCUUUUCGUGUGGUACAGCAUCACCCUAACCAAAUGGUACUCUUUUGCAGGUGAGUCACGACGAGCAUCUGAUCACGGGGAGUGUGGACGAGCUCUGGGCGGUGACGGACGGCAAGGUUGCCCCGUUCCCGGGCACGUUCAAGGAGUACAAGAAGAUGCUCACGACAUAAACCUGGAAAAAGGACAGGACAUAAGGGAAGAUGCCCACACAGACAUACAGAGAGUAUAUGUAUGAUAUGUACGCCCUGGCAUGGGAAAC
This 1294-nucleotide long non-coding RNA is filed under the name Hordeum vulgare. RNAcentral's name for it is "long non-coding RNA (HVUL_LNC016989)". The stretch from base 177 to 305 matches the Rfam family "MIR1120/MIR1122 microRNA precursor family". Lineage: Eukaryota; Viridiplantae; Streptophyta; Magnoliopsida; Poales; Poaceae. The record is from RNAcentral.